AUUUCUUCCCAUGUAAAACAGGUUUACGACCCGAAUACCUUCCCCCCUCACGCACCGUUGCUGCAUCAGGGUUUCGCCCAUUGUCCAAAAUUCCCCACUGCUGCCUCCCGUAGG
Molecule: ribosomal RNA, 114 nt
Filed under: uncultured bacterium
Lineage: Bacteria
Description: partial 16S ribosomal RNA
Source: RNAcentral